CAGUUGCAUGGAAUUCUGGUUUGGCUCUUUCUGGCUUAGUGGCUUAUAACCCUCACCAACACCAAAGGGCAAUUCUGUCAUCUCACUAGUUAUGUAUUUCAGUUUACACCUUUAAGUUUCAUAAUAAUCUGCCUUCCUUUUUUCUUCUUGCUUCCUCUUUUCUUUCACCAUUCAGGCUAGCUUCAAGUGUUCUUGGGUGCAGCUAGUAAUUAAGCGGCGGCUUUCAGUUUGUUCAUGGAUAUUGAUCCCCCGUGGGACAUUGGGGGGUGGGUGGUUUCAGCUUUCUUUAUUACUACUAGUACGUAUAGCAGUUUUCAGAAUCCUAAAAAACCCCAUGGCUUAUGGUGAAUCCUCAUCAUCAAGACCUAUUUUACUCCUCCUCCUCCUUCUUGCUCUGCUCAUACUCCUUCCUUCCCUUGUCCUUGGCGCUGAGAAAGAAGAUGAUCAUCAUCAUCUGCCGUCGCCCACCGCUGGUACUUCUGUUAAUGCUCCACAAGAAACCAGCACCAACGACUUACCGACCGGAACCAGCACUUCAAAUCGAGAGUUCAGAGCUGGGGAGCAUGAAGUGCCUAGCGGGCCGAACCCUGAAUCAAACUGAUAAGCAAUUAGUGUAAUCAUCUCUGCCUGCUGUCUUCUGGUUGUUGUUAUUCCUUAAUUGGUUGGUUUAAUUUACCGUGUAUGGUUUGUUGAUUUGGAUUACUAUCAUGUCCAUGAAUAUUAUAUGUUGGUAAGUAGCAAGCUAUAGAGAGAUCAUAUGCUUUGUUUAUAUGUAUGAUAUGGUGAUGGUUUGGUCAUCAGUACUGCACCAGGUUCAAGCGAGAUUUUGUUUGAUUAUUCCACUGAUUUUUAUUUUCUUUUAUAAUUAUGCGUUUGUGAAAGCGACGUUUACCCUUUGUUGAUCUUUUAUAUAUUUCAUCACCUACUCCUACCUCCUCUAUGUAAUCGGUCUGAAUUUUCUUCCAAUAAUUCAAAUUAUAGAGAUGUAUCGAUUCUUAACCUGCAG
This 1006-nucleotide long non-coding RNA is filed under the name Linum usitatissimum (flax). RNAcentral describes it as "long non-coding RNA (LUSI_LNC003622)". Lineage: Eukaryota; Viridiplantae; Streptophyta; Magnoliopsida; Malpighiales; Linaceae. The record is from RNAcentral.